RNAcentral lists this ribosomal RNA (253 nucleotides) under uncultured bacterium. RNAcentral's name for it is "partial 16S ribosomal RNA". It matches the Rfam family "Bacterial small subunit ribosomal RNA", at positions 524 to 776 of the family's 1533-position model. The record is from RNAcentral.
UACAGAGGUCUCAAGCGUUGUUCGGAUUCAUUGGGCGUGAAGGGUGCGUAGGUGGCAUGGUAAGUCGGAUGUGAAAUCCCGGGGCUCAACCCCGGAACUGCAUUCGAUACUGCCAGGCUAGAGUACUGGAGAGGAGAUUGGAAUUUACGGUGUAGCAGUGAAAUGCGUAGAUAUCGUAAGGAAGACCGGUGGCGAAGGCGGAUCUCUGGACAGUUACUGACACUGAGGCACGAAGGCCAGGGGAGCAAACGGG